AAGUCGUAACAAGGUUUCUGUAGGUGAACCUGCAGAAGGAUCAUUAGUGAAGAUUUGGGCAGGCCAUACGGAUUACCAAACUUGUGUGUCCCUGGCCGCCUACCCACUAUACAUCCACAAACCCGUGUGCACUGUAGAAGGACCUGGGGAGGAAGAGGACAGCGCGGUCCCACGCGCUGGGCUUGUUUCUCUCGGGUUUUUCUUCGCUAUAAACUCGAAUGGUUAGUAUGAACGUGGAACUUGGUUGGACCGUAACUGGCCAACAAACUAUACACAACUUUCGACAACGGAUCUCUUGGUUCUCC
RNAcentral lists this unclassified non-coding RNA (305 nucleotides) under fungal sp. RNAcentral describes it as "partial contains small subunit ribosomal RNA, internal transcribed spacer 1, and 5.8S ribosomal RNA". The stretch from base 1 to 46 matches the Rfam family "Eukaryotic small subunit ribosomal RNA", at positions 1786 to 1831 of the family's 1831-position model. Lineage: Eukaryota; Fungi. The record is from RNAcentral.